This 292-nucleotide ribosomal RNA is filed under the name uncultured bacterium. Its description in RNAcentral is "partial 16S ribosomal RNA". The record is from RNAcentral.
GGACUACUAGGGUUUCUAAUCCUGUUCGCUCCCCACGCUUUCGUACCUCAGUGUCAGGAGUGGCCCAGCAAGCUGCCUUCGCCAUUGGUGUUCUUCGUAAUAUCUACGCAUUUCACUGCUACACUACGAGUUCCACUUGCCUCUGCCGUCCUCUAGUCUGCCAGUAUGAGACACAACGACAGGGUUGAGCCCCACGGUUUCACAUCUCACUUAACAGACCACCUACGCACGCUUUACGCCCAGUGAUUCCGGAUAACGCUUGGACCCUACGUAUUACCGCGGCUGCUGGCAC